Molecule: ribosomal RNA, 468 nt
Filed under: uncultured bacterium
Lineage: Bacteria
Description: partial 16S ribosomal RNA
Rfam family: Bacterial small subunit ribosomal RNA
Source: RNAcentral
GACGAACGCUGGCGGCGUGCUUAACACAUGCAAGUCGAACGGAAAGGCCCUGCUUUUGUGGGGUGCUCGAGUGGCGAACGGGUGAGUAACACGUGAGUAACCUGCCCUUGACUUUGGGAUAACUUCAGGAAACUGGGGCUAAUACCGGAUAGGAGCUCCUGCUGCAUGGUGGGGGUUGGAAAGUUUCGGCGGUUGGGGAUGGACUCGCGGCUUAUCAGCUUGUUGGUGGGGUAGUGGCUUACCAAGGCUUUGACGGGUAGCCGGCCUGAGAGGGUGACCGGCCACAUUGGGACUGAGAUACGGCCCAGACUCCUACGGGAAGCAGCAGUGAGGAAUAUUGCACAAUGGGCGGAAGCCUGAUGCAGCAACGGCGCGUGCGGGAUGACGGCCUUCGGGUUGUAAACCGCUUUCGCCUGUGACGAAGCGUGAGUGACGGUAAUGGGUAAAGAAGCACCGGCUAACUACGUG